Orcinus orca (killer whale) is the source of this 2667-nucleotide long non-coding RNA. RefSeq lists it as uncharacterized. The transcript has 3 exons. Lineage: Eukaryota; Metazoa; Chordata; Mammalia; Artiodactyla; Delphinidae. The record is from RefSeq and is a predicted model, not a curated record.
CUAUCUAACAGCCACCUGCUCUUCGCUCAUUACCAGUUCUGCGCAACUGGCCUCAGAGUACAGAGCCAGGAGAGCAACGCUUUCUUGCAAACGCUCCUUCAGGUCUAGAGUCCUUCCAGUCCCCACGUUGUUUUCUAACUUUUUCUCUAAAGUGAAACUCAGAACACUGAGGGGUAAAAAUGCACGUCUCUGAAGAACAGUCCCCUUUCUUGCCCUGGGACUCCCCCAGGGUGGGCUGUGGUCCAGAUCUUCUCUACGUGCUGUGUAUAUCAGGCAGGCUCCUCUCCUGCUAAUUAAAGGUGAUGUCGUGCUUGCUUUUCCUGAGGUCACCAACAGCAGGGGGCCAGGGACAAAAGAUUGAUGAAACUACUGCAAGGGAACCGCCCCUUCCGAAAGCAAGAUGAGGUCAUGGGAGGAUCAGGGAUACAAAGCAAAAAAGCUCUGCAAAAAUGAAUUCUGCUUUUCUUUCUUUUUUUUAAAGUGCUUUUUGAGAAUUUUAACAAUGCAUUCAGCAAGCUGGUGUGGAUGAGCUUAGAAUUAAGAGGUGGGCAUUUUUUUUUUUACUUUGGAGAUAAAUUCCAGACAACAUCACAUAAUUAAGCAGCCAUUUAGCGAUAAGGUCAUAAAUCCAUUCACUCAUUCAUUCGUUCAUUUAUUCAUUCAGGUAGUCAGUCAGUUAGUCAUAACCAGUAUCUAUUAAGCACCUGCCAUGUGCCUGGCACUGAGGGACACCAGGGGACACAAUAGUGUAGGGGACGAUAUAGACAUGAGCCCUACUAUUCCCAAGGGGGAGAUAAAACAAAACCAGACAAAUAUGCAGAAUGGCUACGACUUGUGUAAAGCGCCGUGCAGGAAAGAAACAAAGGGCUGAGACACAGGCUGACAGAGGGGGCUGCUUUAGGUAGAGCACUCACAGAAGUGGGGGAUUAACCGACAUGAGAAGGACCAAAAUGAGCUAUGAAUUCAAAGGAGACGGAUCUCAGCAAGGGAGAAGCAUGUGCAAGGUACACAGGCACGGGGCAAGCUAACUUGAGGACCUGAGGUAGAAGAAGCUGACGCUGAGUGAGCAACAAGAGGAGCAGCGGCAGCUGCUGAGACACACGGGAACCAAUUCUGCCAAGACCUUGUGGGGCCUUCCAGGAGCACGUGUGAGCUCUUAGGCCGCACUGAUUCCACACGAAAUCGUAUACUGGGAAGCUGGAAAUGUAGUUCGUUGGCCGGUCCUAGGAGAGCAUCCUACACUGACUUAUGAGGUGCCUCCACCAGCAACUCGUGGCGGCCGCGGUUCAUAAAGAUGUUACCACAAUGGCGGCAGAGUGGUUUCAGCCCAACAGACUGGCAAAAACAGGAGAAACGUACAUGCUAAACACUGAGCCAUGUUUCCACCGUAGAAACUGCAUUAAUGACCAUUUCUAAUACUGUAUCUCAUGUUAUAAUUUACGAUGUAUUUUAAGACAGUGCCUCUAAAACUUUCGUAUGCAUACAAAUUACCUUGGCAUUCUGUUAAAACAAAGAUUCUGAUUUAGUAGGUCCAGGGUGGGGCCAGAAAUUUUGAGACAUGCUGAGGCCAACAAUCUGAAAUGACAUUUGAACUAGCAGGACUAUAAUGUACCUUAUCUUUUUGCUUCUACACAGUCUUUAGGAAAGUUUAAUCAUCUUUAUUGUACAGAAGAAAUAACUAACCCUUAGAGAGUUUUAAAAUAUAUCUUGUCUAAACAAGGAACAGUCAAUAGGGCCUAGAAUGUAAACCACAGUUCACCAAUACUAGUUACAAUUAGAAAAAUCUGUGAGACUAUGCAGGUUUAAUCCUUAUUUAAUAAAAUUGUCAUUUGGCAAACAGGUAAAAGAAAGAACUAUUUAAAACAGAAGUGAUCAAUAUGUUUGCAUGAGGAUCAAUUCAGGAAAAACAACGUUUGAGACUAUUUAACACAGAUAUCUUUGUGUGUGUAUAAUUUUAUUCAUUUUUUAAUUGAGGUAUAACUUACAUACAUUAAAGUGCAUAAAUCUGAAGUGUUCAGUUUUAUUCAUUUUGAACUGAGGCAUAAUUUAUAGGCAUUAAAAUGCAUGGAUCUAACGUGUAACCACCACCCAGAACAAGAUAUAGAGCAUUUCCAUCAUCCUAGAAAGUUCCAUCAUGUCCAUUUCUAGUCAGUUCUUUGAUUUUUAUCAACAGUGAUAAAUUUUGUCUGUUCUUGAACUUCAUAUAACUGAAAUCGUAUAGUAUGUACAGUCACCUGGUAUCCACAGGUUGCACAUUAGCCGAUUCAACGAACCACAGAUAACGUACAGUACUAUUUUUAUGAUCUGUGGUUGACUGAAUCUGCAGAUGUGGAAUCUGUGGAUGGAGGACCAACUAUGAGACUUUGAAAAUCCACAGAUUUUGGUACCCAGGGCUGGUCUUGGACCCAAUCCCCCCUCAGAUAUCAAGGGAUGACUGUACUUCUUUGUGCCAGCUUCUUUCAUGCAAUGUAAUAUUUUAAGGUUCAUAACCUUAAAGUUUUUUUUAGGUUUUAUCAAGAACUAUCCCACCUCUCACUAUACAAUAUCUACAGUUUUCUUUCACCAUGAUUUCAUGAUUCUCCCACAGUGAGAGGUUUCCCAUUUCGGACUAUAAUUAUAGAAAUUACCCAUCUAGCAACCACUGAGCAUUUGAUUGUAAUAAUAAAG